UUUAGAAUAUGAUGAGAGUGUCAGAGAUCUGCUCUCUGUCCUGCACUCGGUCUCUGGUCUGAAGGAAUUGGAUCUUGUCUUCAGAUUCAUGACUGUGGAUGGAGCAUCCAGAGUCCUUAACCUCUUUCAGACAAACACCAGUCUGACUGCAUUAGAUUUUGGGGCAGUCGAGCGGCCUGAGAUAAGUAAGGCGAACUUCAAGAAGGACCACAGGAAUGAAUUCUUCAGGUCUCAGUCUGCAGGACAGAUGUCAGAUGACAGUGAUGAAGAUGGCAUGUCCUCACCUCUCAGUGACUGCAGCGAUGAAAUCAACCAAAGUGAUUCUUAUGAACUGGACAGCGUGGAGCGUAUUGUCUGCUCAGAUCUCAGGAUGUGGAGGAGAUUAUCAGGGCAAUGCAGCUUGUUUUUGAAGUGCACCAGCUCCAGUCCCAGGACAAAGUCACUGUUCUCAAGCAUAGAGCUCACCCUGUCUGAAAACUCAGAAAAAACUAGCAGUGACUGGAAAAACUUUCUUAAAGCAUAUAUUCAAUGCAAAGGGAUCUCUAUAAUAAGUCCUACAUUUGACGAGACUGUGGAUGCUCUGCUGUUGUCCCUGCACUCAGUGUCUGCUGUGAACAAGGUGCAAUUGACGACCGACAGCCUGACUGAGAACUUGGCUGCAAAGAUCCUCUCUAUGUGUCACACGUGUCCCAGUCUCCAUAACAUCUGUUUGCAGGUGGAGUACAGUAAGAGAUACAGUGAGCUCAAUGUGUGUUCCUCUCUCAGCGUCACCAGAAACACAGACUCCACCUUGACAGUCGACAUUCAGUUGGCCCGUGACAGCAUGACUGAAAUAACUCCAUCAUUCAUUUCAUUCAUAUCACCAUGUUCAGAGAUUCCUAAACUGGAUGGAAGGGAACUCUUUGAAACUCUUGACAUCCUUAAAGGUUUAGAAGAAGGAUGUGAAGAGCAUGAAGAGCUUGUGGGUGAUUUGAUGUCCACCUUGCUCUCCGUUCCUGGUCUGCAGAAGGUCAGACUCAAGAUCAGCAGUCUAACAGAGAACUGGGUGAAGAGGAGUCUGUCGUUAACUGAAGUCUGUCCCAGUCUUCAGGAGAUCAGAUAUGACUGCAUAGAAAGUGGUGGCUUGUUGUUUGAGGAGGUAGAAAAUAUUCUGCUGAGCUCUCAGAUGGAUUCAGAUUGCAGGAUAAUUAUCACAGGGUCUGUCCUAUAAAAUUAUUUAACCAUU
This 1225-nucleotide long non-coding RNA is filed under the name Sinocyclocheilus anshuiensis. Its description in RNAcentral is "lncRNA (ENSSANG00000015793.1)". The record is from RNAcentral. Lineage: Eukaryota; Metazoa; Chordata; Actinopteri; Cypriniformes; Cyprinidae.